Molecule: ribosomal RNA, 506 nt
Filed under: uncultured bacterium
Lineage: Bacteria
Description: partial 16S ribosomal RNA
Rfam family: Bacterial small subunit ribosomal RNA
Source: RNAcentral
GAUGAACGCUAGCUACAGGCUUAACACAUGCAAGUCGAGGGGUAACGAGAGGAAAGCUUGCUUUCCUUGUCGACGACCGGCGCACGGGUGAGUAACGCGUAUCCAACCUGCCCCCAACUAAGGAAUAACCUUGCGAAAGUAAGACUAAUACCUUAUAAUUUCCUCAGAUGUCAUCCGACGAGGAAUCAAGAUGUAUCAGUUGUGGAUGGGGAUGCGUCUGAUUAGCGUGUUGGCGGGGUAACGGCCCACCAAGGCGACGAUCAGUAGGGGUUCUGAGAGGAAGGUCCCCCACAUUGGAACUGAGACACGGUCCAAACUCCUACGGGAGGCAGCAGUGAGGAAUAUUGGUCAAUGGGCGAAAGCCUGAACCAGCCAAGUAGCGUGCAGGAUGACGGCCCUAUGGGUUGUAAACUGCUUUUAUACAGGAAUAAAGUUAGCCACGUGUGGUUAUUUGUAGGUACUGUAUGAAUAAGGACCGGCUAAUUCCGUGCCAGCAGCCGCCGCGG